GGGAGCCGUAUGAGGUGAAAAUCUCAUGUAUGGUUCUGUAAUAGAGAUGGUAACAGUAAUGUCAUCACCGACUAGGAU
Non-coding RNA from Glycine max (soybean), 78 nucleotides. The record is from Rfam. Lineage: Eukaryota; Viridiplantae; Streptophyta; Magnoliopsida; Fabales; Fabaceae.